AAUACAGAUAUAUUUACAAGUACUUUGAAGCGUGCAUUUGGCCGGCAGCCUCAGAAGUGACAGAACAGUGCCUGGUGGUUUGGAGCACCUGCCUGCAAAGCAAGAUUUCAUCAUUCCCUUCUCAUCUCUCCCCUGAAUCAGAGGCUCCACUCACAAACCAGCAUUAGAAGAACACCACUAAGGAAAAGGACUUCUUCAAAUAGAGUUGGACGUGAACUUUUGUACGAGGACAUCUUCUGUACCGAAGAAAUACCUAGCACAAAUUUUAUCGACUCCACUUGUGAUUUCUGCAAAGAAAGGCUUGUGAAAAGGUGAAUGCUGGAUUAAGUCUUCAGGAUUAAGAAGUUGUUUAAGUACCAUCUCACAGGUGUUCUGCAUCUCCGACUAGAGCUGCCCGUCUGUC
Molecule: long non-coding RNA, 403 nt
Organism: Calidris pugnax (ruff)
Lineage: Eukaryota; Metazoa; Chordata; Aves; Charadriiformes; Scolopacidae
Exons: 3
Source: RefSeq, a predicted model, not a curated record